ACCGUGUGAUGAACAGUAUAUUUCAAUCAGUUCUGCUACUGAAGCAAAUUGAAGACAACCAUAUACCAGCUUACCAAUUUUUCUGACCU
This 89-nucleotide small nucleolar RNA is filed under the name Xylona heveae TC161. The record is from RNAcentral. Lineage: Eukaryota; Fungi; Ascomycota; Xylonomycetes; Xylonales; Xylonaceae.